GAUUCACCUGAUUCAUUCGCGGACGGAGACGUGUCCCACUGUUUUUGAGCGACGCGUGUAAAGAACCAUUCACAGUUUAUCGAUCGUCAGCGAGCGAAGGAGAAUGGGAAGGGAGGAGGUUCGUGAGAUAGCUCGCAGUUUACCGCAACGGUAAACAGUUAGGAUUUUCUUUGAAUGGUCCCUUGUACGUGUGCGCUCGGGAGGAAGGAUGCAUCCUGCGAAGACAGCUUCAAGCUUUCUUACAGGGAGGUUAUGUCGAGAAGGAAGACAAUCGAUGGACGAGGCGUGGUCGGAAAAAAAAAAAUAUACUUACCGCCGAGCUCUGUCUACGAACUUUUAUUUACUAUUCCAAGGCUUCGCGCGCACUGACGCUCUCAUUGAGAGUCCGCGCUAUUUAUCGUGGAGGAGAGGGAGAGCUUAUACCUUCGCAACCCCGAAGGACUUGACGAGUGGACGAGGAAUGAGGAUUCUUGAUCUCCCGAUGGUAGGAUGAAGUGGUUGUUGAAGCACUCGUACCUAAGUGGUAGGGUUGGAGAUUAAUUGGCCAUCCAUUGAAACGGGAGACUUUGUGUAAAUAUGCAACUCCACUUAAAUUAAAUUUAGGAUAACCACAAGGUCGAUUUUAAGUGGUGCCAGUAAAAUAGUGAAUAAUUAAAAUUUUAAUAUUUGUUCGUAUUCGUAACACUACGCGA
Long non-coding RNA from Colletes gigas, 692 nucleotides. RefSeq lists it as uncharacterized. The record is from RefSeq and is a predicted model, not a curated record. The transcript has 3 exons. Lineage: Eukaryota; Metazoa; Arthropoda; Insecta; Hymenoptera; Colletidae.